This 497-nucleotide ribosomal RNA is filed under the name uncultured bacterium. RNAcentral describes it as "partial 16S ribosomal RNA". It matches the Rfam family "Bacterial small subunit ribosomal RNA", at positions 28 to 507 of the family's 1533-position model. The record is from RNAcentral.
GAUGAACGCUGGCGGCGUGCCUAAUACAUGCAAGUCGAGCGAACAGACGAGGAGCUUGCGCCUCGGACGUUAGCGGCGGGCGGGUGAGUAACGCGUGUAUAACCUACCUAUAAGACGGGGAUAACUACGGAAAACCGGAGCUAAUACCGUAUAAUAUAUUGAACCACAUGGGGCAAUAGUGAAAGACGGUGUUGCUGUCACGUAUCGAGGCAUCCGCGCCGCAUUGGCUAGUUGGGAAGGUCACGGCUUACCAAGGCAAGGAUGCGUAGCCGACCUGAGAGGGUGAUCGGCCACCCUGGAACUGGGACACGGUCAAGACUCCUACGGGAGGCAGCAGUAGGCAAUGUUACGCAAUGGGGGAAAGCAUUACGGAGCAAGGCCGCGUGAGUGACGACGGUCUUGGGAUCGUAAAAAUCUGCUAUUAGGGAAGAACAAAUGUGUACGUAACCAUGCCCGGAUUGACGGUACCUAAUAAGAAAGCAACGGCUAACUACGUG